CAGAGAACUUUCCAGAGAUGGAUUGGUGCCUUCGGGAACUCUGAGACAGGUGCUGCAUGGCUGUCGUCAGCUCGUGUUGUGAAAUGUUGGGUUAAGUCCCGCAACGAGCGCAACCCUUAUCCUUGUUUGCCAGCGAGUAAUGUCGGGAACUCCAGGGAGACUGCCGGUGAUAAACCGGAGGAAGGUGGGGACGACGUCAAGUCAUCAUGGCCCUUACGAGUAGGGCUACACACGUGCUACAAUGGCGCAUACAGAGGGCAGCAAGCUAGCGAUAGUGAGCGAAUCCCAAAAAGUGCGUCGUAGUCCGGAUUGGAGUCUGCAACUCGACUCCAUG
RNAcentral lists this ribosomal RNA (334 nucleotides) under Vibrio sp. AN2. Its description in RNAcentral is "bacterial SSU rRNA". It matches the Rfam family "Bacterial small subunit ribosomal RNA", at positions 989 to 1322 of the family's 1533-position model. Lineage: Bacteria; Pseudomonadati; Pseudomonadota; Gammaproteobacteria; Vibrionales; Vibrionaceae. The record is from RNAcentral.